This 755-nucleotide ribosomal RNA is filed under the name uncultured Glomeromycotina. RNAcentral's name for it is "SSU rRNA". It matches the Rfam family "Eukaryotic small subunit ribosomal RNA", at positions 338 to 1092 of the family's 1831-position model. The record is from RNAcentral. Lineage: Eukaryota; Fungi; Glomeromycota.
GGCCUACCAUGGUUUUAACGGGUAACGGGGAAUUAGGGUUCGAUUCCGGAGAGGGAGCCUGAGAAACGGCUACCACAUCCAAGGAAGGCAGCAGGCGCGCAAAUUACCCAAUCCCGACACGGGGAGGUAGUGACAAUAAAUAACAAUACGGGGCUCAUUUGGGUCUCGUAAUUGGAAUGAGUACAAUUUAAAUCUCUUAACGAGGAACAAUUGGAGGGCAAGUCUGGUGCCAGCAGCCGCGGUAAUUCCAGCUCCAAUAGCGUAUAUUAAAGUUGUUGCAGUUAAAAAGCUCGUAGUUGAACUUCGGGGUUUACUCAUUGGUCAGGCUUAAUUGUUUGUACUGGUGAGAUGAAUCUCUACCUUCUGAGGAACUUUCAUGCCAUUUAUUUGGUGUGAUUGGAAAUCAGGACUGUUACUUUGAAAAAAUUAGAGUGUUUAAAGCAGGCUAACGUCUGAAUACAUUAGCAUGGAAUAAUGAAAUAGGACGGAUUGAUUCUAUUUCGUUGGUUUCUAGGAUCACCGUAAUGAUUAAUAGGGAUAGUUGGGGGCAUUAGUAUUCAAUUGUCAGAGGUGAAAUUCUUGGAUUUAUUGAAGACUAACUACUGCGAAAGCAUUUGCCAAGGAUGUUUUCAUUAAUCAAGAACGAAAGUUAGGGGAUCGAAGACGAUCAGAUACCGUCGUAGUCUUAACCAUAAACUAUGCCGACUAGGGAUCGGACGCAGUUAAUUUUAUAAUGACGUGUUCGGCACCUUACG